Long non-coding RNA from Serinus canaria (Common canary), 1220 nucleotides. RefSeq lists it as uncharacterized. The record is from RefSeq and is a predicted model, not a curated record. NCBI's taxonomy places the organism in Eukaryota, Metazoa, Chordata, Aves, Passeriformes, Fringillidae. The transcript is spliced from 3 exons.
AUAUGUGUCUAGCUUUGCAGCUGAAAUGUGAGACAUCAUUGCAAUUAAAUGUUUAUAUGCUGAGAAACACAGUGUCUUCAUAGAACACAAAGCACUGUGUUCAAUGCAUAUUAAAUACUAGAAACUCAAUGCAUACUGAAUAAUUUUAGGUGGAAACUGUUUCUUUUGCUACAAUUGUAAUUGUUUUCUUUAUAGUUCUAGGAAGUUAUCCCACACUCUGUUUUAAAUGUGUUUCCACAUUUAAUGAAGUGUCUGGUUUAAUGAUGUGUCUGUUUUAAUGACAUAGGAGAACCCCAGUCAGAAAGUUUCAUUAUGUGAAGAUGAAAAGAGGGGGGUUUUCAUCCCAAAUCCUGUUCCCCUAAGAGGCAAUAGCUCAGGUUUCCUUCUGUCCUGGAAAAAAUACCACGAAGAUGAUCUCAUGGAUAUCACAGCUUUUCAGCUUUCUCCAGAAUAUGGUAAACUGGACAGUAUGAGGAAGGAUGGACAGCAGCUGGCCCCUGCCUGGAUACUCUGAGGGAACAACAAAACGAGUCAGACUGUGCCUGCAGGGCACGAGGGGAUGCCUGGAAGGAGGGAUGUGCCUCUGACUGCCCACAGCCCAGGUUUUCUCCAUGUGCAGCACCUUCACUUCUGUGUGGCACUGAAUGGAUGCUGCACUCCCAGCCUGGCCUGACCCCCUGGUCUCCACUGCUGGCUGGGUUGUGAGAGUGGUUCUGCUGAAGCAGACUGGAGGGCCAGGUGUCCCUGAGUGCCAGGUCAGUGGGGCUGGCCCAGGGCUGCAGUGCAGGUGCAGCAAAGGCACCGUGCUGUGCCAGCCCCAGCAUCAGCCCCACUGAGCCAGGAGAACCUGGGCUGCCCAAUUCAGCCAGUGCAACCUGAAGGCUGAUCAAUCCAGCCUACAUUGAUUUGAAUGGCUUUUUGUUUAAAGUUUGUCAGUUUUUUGAGACUAUCUUGGUGAAAUUUCCUUUUUCCAUUUGAAAGAAAAGAAAAAUGUGCACACCGAAAGAUGCAAAAGGCAUUAAAGAAAUGCACAGAUCAUCAUUUCAGGCAUUCUGAGCAGUGGGAUUGAGUGAAAUAAUUUAUAGCAUCUGUUUUGAUAUUCGAGUGGCUUUAAAUUGUAGAGUUCCACUAAACAAUUUUGAGUAAAUAAAUCUUUCCUAGGUAACUUUUAAUCUGUUCCAUUGUUUUCUCAGUCAGUAUUGCUAUGCUCUGCCAAACAU